This 253-nucleotide ribosomal RNA is filed under the name uncultured bacterium. Its description in RNAcentral is "partial 16S ribosomal RNA". It matches the Rfam family "Bacterial small subunit ribosomal RNA", at positions 524 to 776 of the family's 1533-position model. The record is from RNAcentral.
UACGUAGGCAGCAAGCGUUGUUCGGAGUUACUGGGCGUAAAGGGUGUGUAGGCGGUUCUUUAAGUUUGCUGUGAAAUCUCCCGGCUUAACCGGGAGGGUGCGGUGAAUACUGAGGGACUAGAGUACGGGAGAGGAAAGUGGAAUUCCUGGUGUAGCGGUGAAAUGCGUAGAUAUCAGGAGGAACACCGGUGGUGUAGACGGCUUUCUGGACCGUAACUGACGCUGAGGAACGAAAGCUAGGGGAGCGAAUGGG